Molecule: unclassified non-coding RNA, 204 nt
Filed under: Hevea brasiliensis (rubber tree)
Lineage: Eukaryota; Viridiplantae; Streptophyta; Magnoliopsida; Malpighiales; Euphorbiaceae
Source: RNAcentral
UUUAACGAAGGUUUUAAAGAGGUUAAAAUAUUUACGUGUAGAUUUUUUAAAUAGAGUGUUUUUAAAUUGUUGAAUGAAAAGAAAAGUUAAAUUUUGAGAGUUGAACGUAUAUAUUACGUAGUAGUUUUUGAGAAUGAUUUUGUUUAGUUUUUAUAUGAAGAUAUUUUUUUUUUUACGAUAGGUUUUAAAUCGUUUUAAAUAUUC